GACGAACGCUGGCGGCGUGCUUAACACAUGCAAGUCGAACGGAAAGGCCCUGCUUUUGUGGGGUGCUCGAGUGGCGAACGGGUGAGUAACACGUGAGUAACCUGCCCUUGACUGUGGGAUAACUUCAGGAAACUGGGGCUAAUACCGGCUAGGAGCUCCUGCUGCAUGGUGGGGGUUGGAAAGUUUCGGCGGUUGGGGAUGGACUCGCGGCUUAUCAGCUUGUUGGUGGGGUAGUGGCUUACCAAGGCUUUGAUGGGUAGCCGGCCUGAGAGGGUGACCGGCCACAUUGGGACUGAGAUACGGCCCAGACUCCUACGGGAGGCAGCAGUGGGGAAUAUUGCACAAUGGGCGGAAGCCUGAUGCAGCAACGCCGCGUGCGGGAUGACGGCCUUCGGGUUGUAAACCGCUUUCGCCUGUGACGAAGCGUGAGUGACGGUAAUGGGUAAAGAAGCACCGGCUAACUACGUG
Molecule: ribosomal RNA, 468 nt
Filed under: uncultured bacterium
Lineage: Bacteria
Description: partial 16S ribosomal RNA
Rfam family: Bacterial small subunit ribosomal RNA
Source: RNAcentral